CUCCAGGGCAACCGUGGCUUUCGAUUGUUACUGUGGGAACUGGAGGUAACAGUCUACAGCCAUGGUCGCCCCGCAGCA
MicroRNA precursor from Pan troglodytes (chimpanzee), 78 nucleotides. It matches the Rfam family "mir-132 microRNA precursor family". NCBI's taxonomy places the organism in Eukaryota, Metazoa, Chordata, Mammalia, Primates, Hominidae. The record is from Rfam.